This 985-nucleotide ribosomal RNA is filed under the name uncultured cyanobacterium. RNAcentral's name for it is "bacterial SSU rRNA". It matches the Rfam family "Bacterial small subunit ribosomal RNA", at positions 471 to 1456 of the family's 1533-position model. The record is from RNAcentral. Lineage: Bacteria; Bacillati; Cyanobacteriota.
GACGGUACUUGAUGAAUAAGCCACGGCUAAUUCCGUGCCAGCAGCCGCGGUAAUACGGGAGUGGCAAGCGUUAUCCGGAAUUAUUGGGCGUAAAGCGUCCGCAGGCGGUCUUAUAAGUCUGUCGUUAAAGCGUGGAGCUUAACUCCAUUUAAGCGAUGGAAACUGUAAGACUAGAGUGUGGUAGGGGCAGAGGGAAUUCCCGGUGUAGCGGUGAAAUGCGUAGAUAUCGGGAAGAACACCAGUGGCGAAGGCGCUCUGCUGGGCCAUAACUGACGCUCAUGGACGAAAGCCAGGGGAGCGAAAGGGAUUAGAUACCCCUGUAGUCCUGGCCGUAAACGAUGAACACUAGGUGUCGGGGGAAUCGACCCCCUCGGUGUCGUAGCCAACGCGUUAAGUGUUCCGCCUGGGGAGUACGCACGCAAGUGUGAAACUCAAAGGAAUUGACGGGGGCCGCACAAGCGGUGGAGUAUGUGGUUUAAUUCGAUGCAACGCGAAGAACCUUACCAGGGUUUGACAUCCUGCGAAUCUCUUGGAAACGAGAGAGUGCCUUCGGGAACGCAGUGACAGGUGGUGCAUGGCUGUCGUCAGCUCGUGUCGUGAGAUGUUGGGUUAAGUCCCGCAACGAGCGCAACCCACGUCGUUAGUUGCCAGCAUUUAGUUGGGCACUCUAGCGAGACCGCCGGUGAUAAACCGGAGGAAGGUGUGGAUGACGUCAAGUCAUCAUGCCCCUUACAUCCUGGGCUACACACGUACUACAAUGCUACGGACAAAGGGCAGCAAACUCGCGAGAGCUAGCAAAUCCCAUAAACCGUGGCUCAGUUCAGAUCGUAGGCUGCAACUCGCCUACGUGAAGGAGGAAUCGCUAGUAAUCGCAGGUCAGCAUACUGCGGUGAAUACGUUCCCGGGCCUUGUACACACCGCCCGUCACACCAUGGAAGUUGGCCACGCCCGAAGCCGUUACUCCAACCCUUGUGGAGGAGGAUGU